UACGUAGGGUGCAGGCGUUGUUCGGAAUUACUGGGCGUAAAGCGCACGUAGGCGGCUUUGUAAGUUAGAGGUGAAAGCCCAGGGCUUAACCCUGGAAUUGCCUUUAAGACUGCAUCGCUAGAAUCGUGGAGAGGUGAGUGGAAUUCCGAGUGUAGAGGUGAAAUUCGUAGAUAUCGGAAGGAACACCUGUGGCGAAAGCGGCUCACUGGACCAUAGCUGACGCUGAGGCGCGAAAGCUAGGGGAGCAAACAGG
RNAcentral lists this ribosomal RNA (253 nucleotides) under uncultured bacterium. Its description in RNAcentral is "partial 16S ribosomal RNA". It matches the Rfam family "Bacterial small subunit ribosomal RNA", at positions 524 to 776 of the family's 1533-position model. The record is from RNAcentral.